This is a long non-coding RNA of Ictalurus punctatus (channel catfish), 1700 nucleotides long. Lineage: Eukaryota; Metazoa; Chordata; Actinopteri; Siluriformes; Ictaluridae. The record is from Ensembl.
AAGUGACUUUCAUUUGCCACAGGUGUUUAUGUUUUGAGUUGAUUAUGUUUGGUAUUUAAACGCAUUGAUUACUAAACACUUCGCUCAGUAUUGUAUAGUUUAUAUAGUUAUAUUGGGUGUAGUUUUGUAUCGGUCGUAGCCAUGCCGCGAAUGUUCUCGUUUCCCGGUGAAGACCGCGUUUACUUUGGUUUUGUGUUUAAUGUUUAAUAAAGACUUUUGAUCGGCACCUGCAUCCGCCUCCAGUCCCAAUACGUUACGGAAUACUGAGCCUAACACGGAAGCAGCAGAUCAGGCAGAAGAUGAGCGCGGAGUUGGACCUAGUGUUCUGGGAGAAGCAAAGGACACUGGACGAAGCACUGGCGCGGCUCACUCACCAGAUCGCGCAACAAAGACUGCUGCAGCGAGCCGGUCUAUGCGCCACGCCACCAUCCGCGUCGUUCGGGGAGCGCAACCAACAGCUCAGUGAGGAACUUGCUCGGCUCACGCGCAUGAUGGCUGGACAGAGAAAGCUGCAAGCUGUGCUAAGCACCAUGCCCUUUACCCUGUCCCCGCCACCGGAGAACCACGCCGUGCAACGCAGCCAGCAAAGCGGCCAGAACAUCUGGGUCUUCCCACUGCAGGGGAACUGUACAGCGCCAUGCAGCCAGCAGAGUGGCCUGAGCAUCUGGGGCUUCCCACUGCAGGGGAAUUGCACCACGCUGCGCAGUCUAGAGGUGAAGGCUGGCCCAGAAUUUUCUUGGGGGACAACAAAGACUGCAGAGCUCCAGCCUGAGGUCAACAGGGCGACCUCAGGGCUGCAGCUUGAGGCCUAUGGGGAGGUCUCUGCGGGGGAGCUCCCGACAGCCGAGGAGGCCGUCCCGCUGCCCUGCCCAGCCGAGGAGGCCGUCCCGCUGCCCUGCCCAGCCGAGGAGGCCGUCCCGCUGCCCUGCCCAGCCGAGGAGGCCGUCCCGCUGCCCUGCCCAGCCCUCCAGUCCCGCUGGGGAUGCUGCCCAGCCUUCCAGUGCCAGUGCUGCCGGGGGCGGUGCCUUGACUUUCAACCCCGGUGGGGGUGCUGCUCCGCCCAUCUGCUGCCCAAUGGAGGCUGCCUCGCUUUCUGUGGCAGCGAGAGACAGCUUGCACAGGGGCCCAGGACCCCUGUUGGAGGGGGGUUCUUGGUGCUCCGGGAGGAGCACCCUUUGGAGGGGGGUUCUGUUGCGCCACGGCCAGCAGAGGGCACUGUGGCUCGGCUCCGGACGAGUCACAUGACACUGUUUUGGUUCGCUCGCUUCCUGCUCAACAUUGAGUGAAGUGACUUUCAUUUGCCACAGGUGUUUGUUUUGAGUUGAUUAUGUUUGGUAUUUAAACGCCUUGGUUACUGAGCACUUCGCUCAGUAUUGUAUAGUUUAUAUAGUGUUAUUGGUUGUAGUUUUGUAUUGGUCGUAUUGUUUCCAUGCCUUGAAUGUUCUUGUUUCCCGGUGAAGACCGCGUUUACUUUGGUUUCAUGUUUAAUAAAGACUUCUGAUCUGCACCUGUAUCUGCCUGCAGUCCCGAUACAUUAGUCCAUCCUUCCUAAUACAUUAUAGAAGUACAAAUUUACUAUAUUACGUAACUAUUUAAUUAGUGCUACUAGAAUACCAAUAACAUUAUCAGAUUUUCACUAUACACAAUGUCAGAUAAUCCUUCCUGAAUGCUUAUACAGUGCCCUUCAAUAAUAUUGGCAC